AGUGAACGCUGGCGGUAGACCUAACACAUGCAAGUCGAACGGCAGCACAGUAAGAGCUUGCUCUUACGGGUGGCGAGUGGCGGACGGGUGAGGAAUACAUCGGAAUCUACUUUUUCGUGGGGGAUAACGUAGGGAAACUUACGCUAAUACCGCAUACGACCUACGGGUGAAAGCAGGGGAUCUUCGGACCUUGCGCGAUUGAAUGAGCCGAUGUCGGAUUAGCUAGUUGGCGGGGUAAAGGCCCACCAAGGCGACGAUCCGUAGCUGGUCUGAGAGGAUGAUCAGCCACACUGGAACUGAGACACGGUCCAGACUCCUACGGGAGGCAGCAGUGGGGAAUAUUGGACAAUGGGCGCAAGCCUGAUCCAGCCAUACCGCGUGGGUGAAGAAGGCCUUCGGUUGUAAAGCCCUUUUGUUGGGAAAGAAAAGCAGCAGGUUAAUACCCCGCUGUUCUGACGGUACCCAAAGAAUAAGCACCGGCUAACUUCGUG
This 491-nucleotide ribosomal RNA is filed under the name uncultured bacterium. Its description in RNAcentral is "partial 16S ribosomal RNA". It matches the Rfam family "Bacterial small subunit ribosomal RNA", at positions 29 to 507 of the family's 1533-position model. The record is from RNAcentral.